RNAcentral lists this long non-coding RNA (342 nucleotides) under Nicotiana benthamiana. Its description in RNAcentral is "long non-coding RNA (NBEN_LNC002436)". Lineage: Eukaryota; Viridiplantae; Streptophyta; Magnoliopsida; Solanales; Solanaceae. The record is from RNAcentral.
CUCACAGUCUCCCUUAUCAAACAUAUUAAAGUAAUGGGCAAGGAUGCUGAUCAAAAACUGUACCGUUUUUCACUCAUCCCACAAACAACUGUACGCAUCCAGCCAUCCAAGGACAAGCAUAUAUUUAUAUGUAAUGAUGCACAUCAACAAAUGUAUCUUUUCACGAUUCCAGAGGUAUUUUUUUCUCUUUUUGAGAUGGUAAGUCCUACCCCAAAAUCCCCUCUGAUCGGGGACUAAAAAUGACCCUUCCACACUUUGCUCCCAUGGUGACUCAAGCUGCCAACCUUGUUAAGAGGAGAGUGCUUUACCACUACAGCAACCUCACUUGUCCCUGGAGGCUGU